Molecule: long non-coding RNA, 1512 nt
Filed under: Homo sapiens (human)
Lineage: Eukaryota; Metazoa; Chordata; Mammalia; Primates; Hominidae
Description: HSALNT0243583
Source: RNAcentral
CACUUGAGCCUGGGAGGCAGAGGUUGCAGUGAGCUGAGAUUGUGCCACUGCACUCCAGCCUGGGCAACAAAGCAAGACUCUGUCUCAAAAAAAUAAAAAUAAAAAAAAAAUCUUAGUUCCAUGGAAUUUUAAGCAUUGUUCCCCCUCUAACCUGUGUCUAAAGAAUUAAAAGAAUUUGGCCGGGUGCGGCAGCUCAUGCCUGUAAUCCCAACACUUUGGGAGGCUGAGGCAGGCGGAUCACGAGGUCAGGAGAUCGAGACCAUCCUGGCCAACACGGUGAAACCUCGUCUCCACUAAAAAUACCAAAAAAAUUAGCUGGGCAUGGUGGCACACACCUGUAGUCCCCUGUAGUCCCAGCUACUCGGGAGGCUGAGGCAGGAGAAUCGUUUGAACCUGGGAGGUGGAGGUUGCAGUGAGCCAAGAUCAUGUCACUGCAUUCCAGCCUGGGCAACAGAGGAAGACUCCGUCUCAAAAAAAAAAAAGAAAAGAAUUUUCACUUUUUGCAAAAUUAUCUUUUUUAAUGCACCCUUAAGUGUUUGACACAAAAGGAAUUGAGGGAACUUCUUAAUUUUAACCACAUCAUCACUUCACUUCUGAAUGUGAUCAUUAUCAGUGUUAGAUGCCUUUUUUUUUUUUUUUUUUUUUUUUUUUUUAAGGAGACAGGGCUCUCACUUUGUUGCCCAGGCUGGAGUUCAGUGGUGCAAUGAUAGCUCAUUAUCACCUCAAACUUCUGGCUCAAGCCAUCCCUCCGCCUCAGCCUCCUGAGUAGCUAGGACUGCAGGUGGGCACCAUCAUGCCUAGCUAAUUGUUAGAUCCUUUUUUUUUAUGUUCUGCAUUUUUUCAGUUAUUUUUACAUAUUUCUCUCUUGAUCCAUGCAGUUAUAGGAUAUAUCCUUAAUUUUAGAAAGUAAGGACUUUUCGACCAGGCGUGGCGGCUCAUGCCUAUAAUCCCAGCACUUUGGGAGGCCGAGGUGGGCAGAUCACUUGAGGUCAGGAGUUCCAGUCCAGCCUGGCUAACAUAGUGAAACCCCGUCUCCACUAAAAAAUAAAAAAUCAGCCCGGCAUGGCUGUGGGCGCCUGUAAUCCCAGCUACUCAGGAGGCUGAAGUAGAAUUGCUUGAACCUGGGAGGCAGAGGUUGCAGUGAGCCGAGAUGGUGCCAUUGCACUCCAGCCUGGGUGACAAGAGCGAAACUGCAUCUCAGAAACAAAGAUGCCUAGCUUUCACCUUGUUGAUGUUUUUCUAAAUUUUGGAAUAAUAAAUUUAUAUAGGAAUACUGCAAGAAUAGUCCAUUUUUUUCUGAUGUCCCAACAUCACCAAAUGUAUCCAUCACAAGUAGGAAUACAUGGAAACAUUAAUGCCAGCCACUAACCAUUCAUGUUUACCCAGUAGUCCCAAUAAUAGCUUUGUCACACAAAAACAUGAUUAUGUUGGCUGGGCACAGUGGCUCCUGUAAUCCUAGCAUUUUGGGAGCCCAAGGCAGGAGUUCAAGACCAGGCUGGGUAAUGUAGCAAG